GACGAACGCUGGCGGCGUGCUUAACACAUGCAAGUCGAACGAAGAGCGAUGGAAGCUUGCUUCUAUCAAUCUUAGUGGCGAACGGGUGAGUAACGCGUAAUCAACCUGCCCUUCAGAGGGGGACAACAGUUGGAAACGACUGCUAAUACCGCAUACGAUCUAAUCUUGGCAUCGAGGAUAGAUGAAAGGUGGCCUCUACAUGUAAGCUAUCACUGAAGGAGGGGAUUGCGUCUGAUUAGCUAGUUGGAGGGGUAACGGCCCACCAAGGCGAUGAUCAGUAGCCGGUCUGAGAGGAUGAACGGCCACAUUGGGACUGAGACACGGCCCAGACUCCUACGGGAGGCAGUAGUGGGGAAUCUUCCGCAAUGGACGAAAGUCUGACGGAGCAACGCCGCGUGAGUGAUGACGGCCUUCGGGUUGUAAAAGCUUCUGUUA
This 435-nucleotide ribosomal RNA is filed under the name Veillonella parvula. RNAcentral's name for it is "bacterial SSU rRNA". It matches the Rfam family "Bacterial small subunit ribosomal RNA", at positions 28 to 438 of the family's 1533-position model. The record is from RNAcentral. Lineage: Bacteria; Bacillati; Bacillota; Negativicutes; Veillonellales; Veillonellaceae.